Molecule: ribosomal RNA, 234 nt
Filed under: Bacillus paralicheniformis
Lineage: Bacteria; Bacillati; Bacillota; Bacilli; Caryophanales; Bacillaceae
Description: partial 23S ribosomal RNA
Rfam family: Bacterial large subunit ribosomal RNA
Source: RNAcentral
GGGAUGGACGCACCGCUGGUGUACCAGUUGUUCUGCCAAGGGCAUCGCUGGGUAGCUAUGUGCGGACGGGAUAAGUGCUGAAAGCAUCUAAGCAUGAAGCCCCCCUCAAGAUGAGAUUUCCCAUUCCUAUAAGGAAGUAAGAUCCCUGAAAGAUGAUCAGGUUGAUAGGUCUGAGGUGGAAGUGUGGCGACACAUGGAGCUGACAGAUACUAAUCGAUCGAGGACUUAACCUAA